GAUCUCCGGUUGCCCAGAUAAUAUCUAUUUGGUAACUACACUUCCACAAGGCGACACUGUCUUCUGGACACCACCGAAUGCAACAGACGCUACUUCUGUUGACACACACUCAACACACGUGCCGGGGCAACUUUUUCCAGUCGCAUCAACUCAAGUCACAUACACUUUCACCGAUUAUGUACAUGGGCUUUCCUCAACAUGCGUGUUUACUGUCACUGUCACAUUGGAUUCACAGGAUCCGUGUCACUGUCAGAAUGGUGGGACUUGUUUUGGGCAGUCUAACUGCAUUUGUCCUUCCGGCUUUGGUGGAAUUACAUGUGAAACACCUCAUUGUAAAUGUCACAUCGACUCAAGUGGUAUACCAAACGCCUGUGAUGUUGCAGCAGGAUGCGACGUUGGAGACAUCUUAGA
Long non-coding RNA from Patiria miniata (bat star), 411 nucleotides. RefSeq lists it as uncharacterized. Lineage: Eukaryota; Metazoa; Echinodermata; Asteroidea; Valvatida; Asterinidae. The transcript is spliced from 3 exons. The record is from RefSeq and is a predicted model, not a curated record.